AGGCCAUUGCUAUCGGGGUCCGAUUUAGCCAUGCUAGUUGUACGAGCUUACACUCGUAGCAAAUAGCUCCGUAACACGUGGCCAAACUACCCUACAGAGAACGAUAACCUCGGGAAACUGAGGCUAAUAGUUCAUACCCGUCUCGCGCUGGAACAGCGAGACGCGCAAAUGUUCCGACGCUGUAGGACGUGGCUGCGGCCGAUU
Molecule: ribosomal RNA, 204 nt
Filed under: uncultured Halobacteria archaeon
Lineage: Archaea; Methanobacteriati; Methanobacteriota; Halobacteria
Description: partial 16S ribosomal RNA
Rfam family: Archaeal small subunit ribosomal RNA
Source: RNAcentral